Molecule: ribosomal RNA, 242 nt
Filed under: uncultured bacterium
Lineage: Bacteria
Description: partial 16S ribosomal RNA
Rfam family: Bacterial small subunit ribosomal RNA
Source: RNAcentral
UACGGAGGGAGCUAGCGUUAUUCGGAAUUACUGGGCGUAAAGCGCACGUAGGCGGCUUUGUAAGUUAGAGGUGAAAGCCUGGAGCUCAACUCCAGAAUUGCCUUUAAGACUGCAUCGCUUGAAUCCAGGAGAGGUGAGUGGAAUUCCGAGUGUAGAGGUGAAAUUCGUAGAUAUCAGGAGGAACACCAGUGGCGAAGGCGGCUUCCUGGACACCAACUGACGCUGAGACGCGAAAGCGUGGG